AGCCUUUUGCAGUUCAUAAGCGUGAUGAUUAGAUUUUUACAGGGACGUGUGAAAUGUGCCUCCCUCAAACGUGGUUAUGAUGUUGGCACAUCACCUGUCUGAUA
Molecule: small nucleolar RNA, 104 nt
Organism: Lemur catta (Ring-tailed lemur)
Lineage: Eukaryota; Metazoa; Chordata; Mammalia; Primates; Lemuridae
Product: small nucleolar RNA U13
Exons: 1
Source: RefSeq, a predicted model, not a curated record